GUCCGGCUGAUGAGUCUCAAAUAGGACAAAACAUGAGUCCUGGAU
This is a non-coding RNA of Schistosoma haematobium, 45 nucleotides long. Lineage: Eukaryota; Metazoa; Platyhelminthes; Trematoda; Strigeidida; Schistosomatidae. The record is from Rfam.